CCUACGGGGGGCUGCAGUGGGGAAUAUUGGACUAUGGGCGCAAGCCUGAUCCAGCAAUACCGCGUGUGUGAAGAAGGCCUGAGGGUUGUAAAGCACUUUUAAUCGGGAGGAAUAGCGGUCGGUUAAUACCCGGCCGUCUGACAUUACCGAUAGAAAAAGCACCGGCUAACUCCGUGCCAGCAGCCGCGGUAAUACGGAGGGUGCAAGCGUUAAUCGGAAUUACUGGGCGUAAAGCGUGCGUAGGCAUGUGAAAGCCCCGGGCUUAACCUGGGAACGGCAUUUGAAACUGAUCGACUAGAGUUGGGUAGAGGGGAGUGGAAUUUCAGGUGUAGCGGUGAAAUGCGUAGAUAUCUGAAGGAACACCAGUGGCGAAGGCGGCUCCCUGGACCCAAACUGACGCUGAGGCACGAAAGCGUGGGUAGCAAACAGGAUUAGAUACCCCAGUAGUC
This 449-nucleotide ribosomal RNA is filed under the name uncultured bacterium. Its description in RNAcentral is "partial 16S ribosomal RNA". It matches the Rfam family "Bacterial small subunit ribosomal RNA", at positions 338 to 795 of the family's 1533-position model. The record is from RNAcentral.